RNAcentral lists this ribosomal RNA (477 nucleotides) under uncultured bacterium. RNAcentral describes it as "partial 16S ribosomal RNA". It matches the Rfam family "Bacterial small subunit ribosomal RNA", at positions 30 to 507 of the family's 1533-position model. The record is from RNAcentral.
AUUGAACGCUGGCGGCAUGCCUUACACAUGCAAGUCGAACGGUAACAGGUUAAGCUGACGAGUGGCGAACGGGUGAGUAAUAUAUCGGAACGUGCCCAGUCGUGGGGGAUAACUGCUCGCAAGAGCAGCUAAUACCGCAUACGACCUGAGGGUGAAAGCGGGGGCUCGCAAGACCUCGCGCGAUUGGAGCGGCCGAUAUCAGAUUAGGUAGUUGGUGAGGUAAAGGCCCACCAAGCCGACGAUCUGUAGCUGGUCUGAGAGGACGACCAGCCACACUGGGACGGAGGCACGGCCCAGACUCCUACUGGAGGCAGCAGUGGGGAAUUUUGGAGAAUGGGCGCAGGCCUGAUCCAGCCAUGCCGCGGGCUGGAAGAAGGCCUUCGGGUUGUAAACCGCUUUUGUCAGGGAAGAAAAGGUUCUGGCUAAUACCUGGGACUCAUGACGGUACCUGAAGAAUAAGCACCGGCUAACUACGUG